Carya illinoinensis is the source of this 1140-nucleotide long non-coding RNA. RefSeq lists it as uncharacterized. NCBI's taxonomy places the organism in Eukaryota, Viridiplantae, Streptophyta, Magnoliopsida, Fagales, Juglandaceae. The transcript is spliced from 2 exons. The record is from RefSeq and is a predicted model, not a curated record.
UAAACCAAGCCCCUCGAUGAGUUGCUUGAGCUGAACCCAAAGAGUCUCACUCUCUGAACGAUCCCGUCUGUGGUCGCCGCCGUGGACUGAACUGGUUGUUGCGCUCGCCGUUCGUCACACAUUCCAGAUUUGAGCCGCCGUCUACGUGGGUUGGACUCGAUUUCCAGAUCUGAGUAGUCGCGUCUCUGCUUCUUCCACUGCCACGGUUCUUUCGUUGAGAGAUCAGGUGGCCAUUCGGGGAGACCUUUUUGGCUCCCUUUCAAAGGACACAUAUAUCUAUCUGGGUCACUCGUUAUUAAGGUAUGGAAAAUCAUGCCCAAAACUUGUUUUACAAAAGGUCAGAAAGGAAACCUCUGUUUGUAUUGUAUUGUUUUUCUCUAUCGUUUACAGUGCUUUACAGACAGUAUUUAUAGACAAUAUUUAAAGCAAUCAAACCAUGAAUUUCAGAUCACAAGACACGUACCCUAAUGGAAUUCCUUUCUUGUUAUACGAAUGUGCUGGAGUGCUCUGCCUUGGAGUGGUGCUACUGCAUCUUGCUUCACUGGUGGCAUUGUCCUUUUGUGUAGCAGCCUGUGCAAGUCCUUUGGCUUUUUUCUCGUGUGGCAGACUGAUGCAGCGCUCUUUCCUUUUGUAUAGGAGUCGGUUACAGUGCAAUUUCUUUAUCCUCAACACGCUUUAAGCCCCCAAAGAUGGAGAAAAAAGAUUUGCCUCAUUCCACCAAAUCGCCUUUCUUCUAAAUUUACCCAUCCCAGGAUUUGCCGAUACCCACCAAAUAAUUUUAAAAAAAUGAAAAUAAAAAACCAGUUGCUGAACCUUGAAAGUGACCAACUUUCUAUAUAUAUAUAUGAUCCACAUGCAGGGCCCGGAGAUUACUUUUCUUUCUCUUUUUUUUUUUUUUUUACGAAAAAGUCUUGAUUUAUUUGUUAUUGAAAUUGCUUUUAGUUAAUUGCAUGCAGUGUUGAUUAUCAUAUAUAUGGUCAAUAUUGCUGCAUGGUCCAAAAUGUUUGUUGAGUCCCAGACAUUGGUUGAUUUUUUCUAGUCAUGUCUCCGUCUCUGUCUCUAUCUUACUAGUUUUUCUCCUAGGUCUAUUAAUUUAUUAUUGAUCUUGAUUUAAACUACUCAUGGAAGUUGAUAGAUAAA